UCCGGCUUGUCGCCGGCGGUCCCUUUAGAGUGCCCAACUAAAUGAUGGCAACUAAAGGCGAGGGUUGCGCUCGUUGCGGGACUUAACCCAACAUCUCACGACACGAGCUGACGACAGCCAUGCAGCACCUGAACCGGAGGUCCCCGAAAGGAAGACCCCAUCUCUGGAGCUGUCCUCCGUUGUCUAGCCCAGGUAAGGUUCUUCGCGUUGCGUCGAAUUGAACCACAUGCUCCACCGCUUGUGCGGGCCCCCGUCAAUUCCUUUGAGUUUCAGCCUUGCGGCCGUACUCCCCAGGCGGGGCACUUAAUGCGUUAGCGUCGGCACGGAAGGGGUUGAUGCCCCCCACACCUAGCACCCAACGUUUACGGCUGGGACUAC
RNAcentral lists this unclassified non-coding RNA (378 nucleotides) under uncultured bacterium. Its description in RNAcentral is "contains 16S-23S intergenic spacer region". The record is from RNAcentral.